UACGUAGGGUGCAAGCGUUGUCCGGAAUUAUUGGGCGUAAAGGGCUCGUAGGCGGUCCAUCGCGUCGGGAGUGAAAAGCUGGGGCUCAACCCCAGUCCUGCUUCCGAUACGGGUGGACUAGAGGUAUGCAGGGGAGAACGGAAUUCCUGGUGUAGCGGUGAAAUGCGUAGAUAUCUGGAGGAACACCGGUGGCGAAGGCGGCAUCCUGGACCGGUAUUGACGCUGAGGCGCGAAAGCGUGGGGAGCAAACAGG
This 253-nucleotide ribosomal RNA is filed under the name uncultured bacterium. Its description in RNAcentral is "partial 16S ribosomal RNA". It matches the Rfam family "Bacterial small subunit ribosomal RNA", at positions 524 to 776 of the family's 1533-position model. The record is from RNAcentral.